UUCCGGUUGAUCCCGCCGGACCUGACUGCUAUCGGAUUGAUACUAAGCCAUGCGAGUCUUUGUAGCAAUACAAGGCAGACGGCUCAGUAACACGUAGUCAAUCUACCCUAUGGACGGGGAUAACCUCGGGAAACUGAGAAUAAUACCCGAUAGAUCAUUAUGCCUGGAAUGGUUUAUGGUCGAAAUGAUUUAUCGCCGUAGGAUGGGACUGCGGUCUAUCAGCUUGUUGGUGAGGUAAUGGCCCACCAAGGCUAUAACAGAUACGGGCUCUGAGAGGAGAAGCCCGGAGAUGGGUACUGAGACACGGACCCAGGCCCUACGGGGCGCAGCAGGCGAGAAAACUUUGCAAUGUGCGAAAGCACGACAAGGUUAAUCCGAGUGUUUUCUGCUAAAGAAAUCUUUUGUCAGUCCUAAAAACACUGAUGAAUAAGGGGUGGGCAAGUUCUGGUGUCAGCCGCCGCGGUAAAACCAGCACCUCAAGUGGUCAGGAGGAUUAUUGGGCCUAAGCAUCCGUAGCCGGCUGUGUAAGUUUUCGGUUAAAUCUAUACGCUCAACGUAUAGGCUGCCGGGAAUACUGCACAGCUAGGGAGUGGGAGAGGUAGACGGUACUCGGUAGGAAGGGGUAAAAUCCUUUGAUCUAUUGAUGACCACCUGUGGCGAAGGCGGUCUACUAGAACACGUCCGACGGUGAGGGAUGAAAGCUGGGGGAGCAAACCGGAUUAGAUACCCGGGUAGUCCCAGCAGUAAACAAUGCAAACUCAGUGAUGCACUGGCUUGUGGCCAGUGCAGUGCCGCAGGGAAGCCGUUAAGUUUGCCGCCUGGGAAGUACGUACGCAAGUAUGAAACUUAAAGGAAUUGGCGGGGGAGCACCACAAGGGUGAAGCCUGCGGUCAAUUGAGUCACGCCGGA
Molecule: ribosomal RNA, 909 nt
Filed under: uncultured archaeon
Lineage: Archaea
Description: bacterial SSU rRNA
Rfam family: Archaeal small subunit ribosomal RNA
Source: RNAcentral